CGUUGCAGACAUUUUGGCCGGCGUCAAGUUUGCGGCCCUGCAUGAAAACACUCUGACAUAAAACAUCAAAAGUUUUGCAACUCGGAAAAAGUGUGAAAUUUGUGAGAAAUUUAUGUAAAUUCGCGUACCGGUGCAUACAUGAAGGAUCUGUCUGACUUCGAAAAAAUGGCCGAUCUCGAUGCUGUUGUGAAUCUCGGCCUCGAUGAAAAUGAAGCGGACAUUGCGGAGGAACUACAGGGCUUCGAGGACUCUUUCGAUACUAGAAGUGAAGCGUCCGCGGACAGUUCAAGCAGUUCCGCAACGAAUCCGAGCAUAAGUUCGGUGAGUACGGAUUCGUCGGUGUCGCCAAAGAACCGGCGCGCACACCUGAAGCGCGAACGUUCAGUGAACGGGGAGAGUGGUGGCGGCGGCGGCGGUGGCGGAGGCGGCAGUGGCGGUGCAGGCGAGAACAACAAUAGAAAGGACAACAAAAACACAGACGAUGAAGACGACGACGAGGAUGAGGACAAUGAUAAGAAUAACGGUCGCAAAAGUGCCAGUGCCAGUGCGAGUGCUAGUCCGGAUGCGAAAAAGACACACAACUCGUCGUCGUCCGCGAACAAUUCCAAGCACAACUCCAAGUCCUACGACUACAUGACGAAACUCAAUUAUCUGUUCCGCGACACGCGAUUCUUUCUGAUCAAGUCCAAUAACGCCGACAAUGUGGCGCUGUCCAAGAGCAAAAGUGUUUGGUCCACGUUGCCCCAGAAUGAGGCGAACCUGAACCAGGCCUUCCGCGAAAGCCGGAACGUCCUUCUGAUAUUCUCGGUGAACGAAAGUGGUAAAUUCGCUGGGUUUGCUCGAAUGACCGGUGAAUCGAGACGAGACGUUCCUGCCGUUUCGUGGGUACUACCUCCCAGUAUUUCAGCAAAAGCACUUGGUGGUGUGAUUGAAAUUGAUUGGAUCUGUCGAAAAGAACUGUCUUUCACAUGUACAGCGAAUCUAUUUAAUUCUUGGAACGAAGGUAAACCUGUGAAAAUUGGUCGUGAUGGUCAAGAGAUUGAACCGAAAGUCGGAGCUGAAUUGUGUCGAUUAUUUCCCGAAGAUGAAGGCAUUGAACUUACACCGAUUUUAAAGAAAUCAAAAGAAACAGCCAGACUACUUCGGGAUAAAGGUGUGCGUGUAUCAUAUAAAGGACCACCUCAAAGAGGUGUUUCAAUGCGUGGUCGUAGUAGUUUAGGUGCAGUGCGAGGCAAAAAAGCCUUCUUAUUAAAUAGAAAUAAAUUGGGUGGAGUUCCGCCACCUGGUGUAUAUAAACGUUCAGCGUCACCAUAUACGGGUAGAGAAAGGACGGUUCCACCGUGGGAAAGGUAUGUCACAUCGGCUGCCGCAGCAGAGGCAUAUGUAGCUGAUUACAUGCGGACUAUGCAACACCAGCUACCUCCUAUGCCGUACAUACCGCCAGCCGCAUUCUCGAAUAUGAUUCCACCAAAUCCGGCUGUAGUACAACCCUCGGCGGCGGUAUACGAGAACCUUCCGCCACCACCGCGAUAUUACGAAGGUCCUCCGUUACCCGAGUAUCCACCACCACAACAGAUACGCCCACCACCGCCCAACUACGAGCCGCGUCCACCCUACGAACGAUCAGUUGACGAGUUCCUCUGGAAAACUAACGAUAGACCGGCACUUACUCAGGGCACAAAUGCCGGCGGCGGAUCAACAGGAGGGGGCGGUAAUUCACAAGGAGGCAGCAACAGCGCUGGAGGAGGCGGCGGAGGUGGCGGCAGUUAUCGUAGUAAUAACCGUGAUUUCCACAGAACCCGCGACCGAGGGAGGGAUCGGAGCAGUCGAAGUGAUCGUGAGCGUAAUUUCCGUGAUAGAAGUCACCAUCGCAGUAGCUAUCGUGAUAGACGAUGAUUUUACCAGAUGUAAGCAUCCCAGCAGCCUACCUGUCCUAGUGACAAAGGACUAAUUGAAAAAUCGGGCGACAAAGCUGAAACGAUACAAAUGAUAAUUAUUGCAGAAAGUAAAAAACACUUAAAAGAUUUCAUUAAAACUAAAGUACAUAUAAAAAACCGAAAGCCGAACUUCUAGUUAAAACAAAAUGAAAAAGUAAACGUAAAGCCAGCAUAAUUAUUAAAUAAGAGGCAACCUAAACCUAAAAUGCAAAAACAACUUUAAACAUAAAGCAAGAGAAAACCCUACAUAAGAGAAACAAGUAAUUCAAGAAGAACAGAUGAAACGACAACAAAAAUGAUAAAAAUCCUACAAGCGUUUGUAUUUUUAAUUCUAAUUAUUAAAAUAUUGUUUUUACAAUACUUGGAAUUUAUAUAGUGACAUGAUGUAUUUUAAUUUUAAAAAAUAUAUAUAUUUAACGACGAUACUUUAAA
Molecule: unclassified non-coding RNA, 2369 nt
Filed under: Hermetia illucens (black soldier fly)
Lineage: Eukaryota; Metazoa; Arthropoda; Insecta; Diptera; Stratiomyidae
Description: yTH domain-containing protein 1, transcript variant X1
Source: RNAcentral